Molecule: ribosomal RNA, 1370 nt
Filed under: metagenome
Description: bacterial SSU rRNA
Rfam family: Bacterial small subunit ribosomal RNA
Source: RNAcentral
CAGUGGGGGAUAACGUAGCGAAAGUUACGCUAAUACCGCAUAUUCUGUGAGCAGGAAAGCAGGGGAUCUUAGGACCUUGCGCUGAUUGAGCGGCCGAUAUCAGAUUAGCUAGUUGGUGAGGUAAAGGCUCACCAAGGCGACGAUCUGUAGCGGGUCUGAGAGGAUGAUCCGCCACACUGGAACUGAGACACGGUCCAGACUCCUACGGGAGGCAGCAGUGGGGAAUUUUGGACAAUGGGGGCAACCCUGAUCCAGCCAUGCCGCGUGAGUGAAGAAGGCCUUCGGGUUGUAAAGCUCUUUCAGCCGGGAAGAAAACGCAUGGGUUAAUACCCUGUGUGGAUGACGGUACCGGAAUAAGAAGCACCGGCUAACUACGUGCCAGCAGCCGCGGUAAUACGUAGGGUGCGAGCGUUAAUCGGAAUUACUGGGCGUAAAGCGUGCGCAGGCGGUUUUGUAAGACAGGCGUGAAAUCCCCGGGCUCAACCUGGGAACUGCGUUUGUGACUGCAAGGCUAGAGUAUGGCAGAGGGGGGUGGAAUUCCACGUGUAGCAGUGAAAUGCGUAGAGAUGUGGAGGAACACCGAUGGCGAAGGCAGCCCCCUGGGCCAAUACUGACGCUCAUGCACGAAAGCGUGGGUAGCAAACAGGAUUAGAUACCCUGGUAGUCCACGCCCUAAACGAUGUCAACUAGGUGUUGGGUGGGUAAAACCAUUUAGUACCGGAGCUAACGCGUGAAGUUGACCGCCUGGGGAGUACGGCCGCAAGGUUAAAACUCAAAGGAAUUGACGGGGACCCGCACAAGCGGUGGAUGAUGUGGAUUAAUUCGAUGCAACGCGAAAAACCUUACCUACCCUUGACAUGUCCAGAAGCCCUUAGAGAUUUGGGUGUGCCCGAAAGGGAGCUGGAACACAGGUGCUGCAUGGCUGUCGUCAGCUCGUGUCGUGAGAUGUUGGGUUAAGUCCCGCAACGAGCGCAACCCUUGUCGUUAAUUGCCAUCAUUUAGUUGGGCACUUUAACGAGACUGCCGGUGACAAACCGGAGGAAGGUGGGGAUGACGUCAAGUCCUCAUGGCCCUUAUGGGUAGGGCUUCACACGUCAUACAAUGGACGGUACAAAGGGUCGCCAACCCGCGAGGGGGAGCCAAUCCCAGAAAGCCGAUCGUAGUCCGGAUCGUAGGCUGCAACUCGCCUGCGUGAAGUCGGAAUCGCUAGUAAUCGUGGAUCAGCAUGUCACGGUGAAUACGUUCCCGGGUCUUGUACACACCGCCCGUCACACCAUGGGAGCGGGUUCCGCCAGAAGUAGGUAGCCUAACCGCAAGGGGGGCGCUUACCACGGCGGGGUUCGUGACUGGGGUGAAGUCGGAACAAGGUA